AACGAACGUUGGCGGCGUGGAUUAGGCAUGCAAGUCGAACGAAUCUCAGCCUUGUAGCAAUACCGGGCUGGGGGAAGUGGCGAAAGGGGCAGUAAUGCAUGGGUAACCUACCUCGGGGACGGGGAUAGCCUUCCUAACGGAUGGGUAAUACCUGGCGAUUUGGUUGAGGGGCAUCUCUCGACCAGGAAAUGAAUUUCGCCUCGGGAGGGGCUCAUGUGAUAUUAGCUUGUUGGUGAGGUAACGGCUCACCAAGGCAAAGAUGUCUAGCGGGUGUGAGAGCACGACCCGCGCCACUGGCACUGAGACACUGGCCAGACACCUACGGGUGGCUGCAGUCGAGGAUCUUCGGCAAUGGGCGAAAGCCUGACCGAGCGACGCCGCGUGGACGAUGAAGGCCUUGGGUUGU
This 406-nucleotide ribosomal RNA is filed under the name uncultured bacterium. Its description in RNAcentral is "bacterial SSU rRNA". It matches the Rfam family "Bacterial small subunit ribosomal RNA", at positions 29 to 426 of the family's 1533-position model. The record is from RNAcentral.